Long non-coding RNA from Zootermopsis nevadensis, 833 nucleotides. RefSeq lists it as uncharacterized. The record is from RefSeq and is a predicted model, not a curated record. NCBI's taxonomy places the organism in Eukaryota, Metazoa, Arthropoda, Insecta, Blattodea, Termopsidae.
UGAAGGCAAUGGCGGCCCUUCGUGACUAACAAGCAAGCAGACAACCACAAUCGAAACUUAAUAAGCUUAGAACCCGAACUAAAUCACGCGUAACGUCGUACGUCGUACGAAUUUUGUCUUUCUGGAAGUUCGUUGUUCGCAAAUAAUGACAUUUUAGGUUCUCAAUUCUGCGAGUCUAAACACGGCUUUCUUCCGGGCUACUGUGUGGUACACGCUUAUCGACCUGUCAGAAGAGCAACCGACCUGAUGUUGGAGGCUCAAGCACCUCUGAAACGCCGGUAAACUUCAACCAGACCGCACGGCACAACAGCCCAGAAGACAGCCAUCUUUCGCACUUUGUUUCGGGGAACCACAUUUGCACUUUAUCGCCAGUAUCUGGCUCAGACUUGAGUUCCGUGCAAGAUCGAGGUGAAUCAGUGUCGCAAAGAAAAUUAACUCUGUACUCAUUGCGCGUUCUUAUUUCACAGAUGUUUGGUUCGUGAAGCAUGUCAACGACGCAGUCGAACAGAUGGCAUCGGUUUCCACCUCACCAGAUGAGUUCUCAUUCAGCGGGGCUUUCGGGAGAAUAAAGAAGUUUCUAAACGUCGAAAAUUUCCUGGGGACCCCUCGCCAGCAGAGGACCCACUGCUGAAUGUCACGUCGGCAGCGUACACCGUCGAUGAACACUCGUACCUGAAUAUUGACCAGGAGCUGACCUUGCGGCAUGACCUCAACAAACAUUGACUACAGUUCUGGAAAGAUCUGUAUAAAUCUAUGCGCUCGUAAACGGUGAUGUGACCAUUUCAGUAUUUCUUGUAGUUGCAUCUGAAGCAUUAAAUUGGUUUGUGAAGCUA